RNAcentral lists this ribosomal RNA (142 nucleotides) under uncultured eukaryote. RNAcentral's name for it is "partial 18S ribosomal RNA". It matches the Rfam family "Eukaryotic small subunit ribosomal RNA", at positions 1299 to 1458 of the family's 1831-position model. The record is from RNAcentral.
UGGUGGAGUGAUUUGUCUGGUUAAUUCCGUUAACGAACGAGACCCCUGCCUGCUAAAUAGGUUGCGUAGUGAGUUUUCACUGUGUGAAUCUUCUUAGAGGGACGUGCAUUCUAUUAGAUGCAGGAAGAUAGGGGCAAUAACA